RNAcentral lists this ribosomal RNA (2898 nucleotides) under Streptococcus pneumoniae. RNAcentral's name for it is "23S ribosomal RNA". It matches the Rfam family "Bacterial large subunit ribosomal RNA". Lineage: Bacteria; Bacillati; Bacillota; Bacilli; Lactobacillales; Streptococcaceae. The record is from RNAcentral.
UUAAGUUAAUAAGGGCGCACGGUGGAUGCCUUGGCACUAGGAGCCGACGAAGGACGUGACAAACGACGAUAUGCCUUGGGUAGCUGUAAGUAAGCGAUGAUCCAGGGAUUUCCGAAUGGGGGAACCCAACAGGUAAUACCUGUUACCUACAUCUGUUAAGGAUGUGAGGAGGAAGACGCAGUGAACUGAAACAUCUAAGUAGCUGCAGGAAGAGAAAGCAAAAGCGAUUGCCUUAGUAGCGGCGAGCGAAACGGCAGAAGGGCAAACCGAAGAGUUUACUCUUCGGGGUUGUAGGACUGCAAUGUGGACUCAAAGAUUAUAGAAGAAUGAUUUGGGAAGAUCAGCCAAAGAGAGUAAUAGCCUCGUAUUUAAAAUAGUCUUUGUACUUAGCAGUAUCCUGAGUACGGCGGGACACGUGAAAUCCCGUCGGAAUCUGGGAGGACCAUCUCCCAACCCUAAAUACUCCCUAGUGACCGAUAGUGAACCAGUACCGUGAGGGAAAGGUGAAAAGCACCCCGGGAGGGGAGUGAAAUAGAACCUGAAACCGUGUGCCUACAACAAGUUCGAGCCCGUUAAUGGGUGAGAGCGUGCCUUUUGUAGAAUGAACCGGCGAGUUACGUUAUGAUGCGAGGUUAAGUUGAAGAGACGGAGCCGUAGGGAAACCGAGUCUGAAUAGGGCGCCUUAGUAUCAUGACGUAGACCCGAAACCAUGUGACCUACCCAUGAGCAGGUUGAAGGUGCGGUAAGACGCACUGGAGGACCGAACCAGGGCACGUUGAAAAGUGCUUGGAUGACUUGUGGGUAGCGGAGAAAUUCCAAACGAACUUGGAGAUAGCUGGUUCUCUCCGAAAUAGCUUUAGGGCUAGCGUCGACAUUAGAGAUUCUUGGAGGUAGAGCACUGUUUGGGUGAGGGGUCCAUCCCGGAUUACCAAUCUCAGAUAAACUCCGAAUGCCAAUGAAUUAUGGUCGGCAGUCAGACUGCGAGUGCUAAGAUCCGUAGUCGAAAGGGAAACAGCCCAGACCACCAGCUAAGGUCCCAAAAUAAUUGUUAAGUGGAAAAGGAUGUGGGGUUGCACAGACAACUAGGAUGUUAGCUUAGAAGCAGCUAUUCAUUCAAAGAGUGCGUAAUAGCUCACUAGUCGAGUGACCCUGCGCCGAAAAUGUACCGGGGCUAAAACAAUUUACCGAAGCUGUGGAUACCUUUAUAGGUAUGGUAGGAGAGCGUUCUAUGUGUGAUGAAGGUAUACCGUGAGGAGUGCUGGAACGCAUAGAAGUGAGAAUGCCGGUAUGAGUAGCGAAAGACAGGUGAGAAUCCUGUCCACCGUAAGACUAAGGUUUCCAGGGGAAGGCUCGUCCGCCCUGGGUUAGUCGGGACCUAAGGAGAGACCGAAAGGUGUAUCCGAUGGACAACAGGUUGAUAUUCCUGUACUAGAGUAUGUAGUGAUGGAGGGACGCAGUAGGCUAACUAAAGCAGACGAUUGGAAGAGUCUGUCUAAGCAGUGAGGUGUGAAUUGAGUCAAAUGCUUAAUUCUAUAACAUUGAGCUGUGAUGGGGAGCGAAGUUUAGUAGCGAAGUUAGUGACGUCACACUGCCAAGAAAAGCUUCUAGCGUUUAAACAUACUCUACCCGUACCGCAAACCGACACAGGUAGUCGAGGCGAGUAGCCUCAGGUGAGCGAGAGAACUCUCGUUAAGGAACUCGGCAAAAUGACCCCGUAACUUCGGGAGAAGGGGUGCUGACUUUAAGUCAGCCGCAGUGAAUAGGCCCAAGCAACUGUUUAUCAAAAACACAGCUCUCUGCUAAAUCGUAAGAUGAUGUAUAGGGGGUGACGCCUGCCCGGUGCUGGAAGGUUAAGAGGAGUGCUUAGCGUAAGCGAAGGUAUGAAUUGAAGCCCCAGUAAACGGCGGCCGUAACUAUAACGGUCCUAAGGUAGCGAAAUUCCUUGUCGGGUAAGUUCCGACCCGCACGAAAGGCGUAAUGAUUUGGGCACUGUCUCAACGAGAGACUCGGUGAAAUUUUAGUACCUGUGAAGAUGCAGGUUACCCGCGACAGGACGGAAAGACCCCAUGGAGCUUUACUGCAGUUUGAUAUUGAGUGUCUGUACCACAUGUACAGGAUAGGUAGGAGUCUAAGAGAUCGGGACGCCAGUUUCGAAGGAGACGCUGUUGGGAUACUACCCUUGUGUUAUGGCCACUCUAACCCAGAUAGGUGAUCCCUAUCGGAGACAGUGUCUGACGGGCAGUUUGACUGGGGCGGUCGCCUCCUAAAAGGUAACGGAGGCGCCCAAAGGUUCCCUCAGAAUGGUUGGAAAUCAUUCGCAGAGUGUAAAGGUAUAAGGGAGCUUGACUGCGAGAGCUACAACUCGAGCAGGGACGAAAGUCGGGCUUAGUGAUCCGGUGGUUCCGUAUGGAAGGGCCAUCGCUCAACGGAUAAAAGCUACCCUGGGGAUAACAGGCUUAUCUCCCCCAAGAGUUCACAUCGACGGGGAGGUUUGGCACCUCGAUGUCGGCUCGUCGCAUCCUGGGGCUGUAGUCGGUCCCAAGGGUUGGGCUGUUCGCCCAUUAAAGCGGCACGCGAGCUGGGUUCAGAACGUCGUGAGACAGUUCGGUCCCUAUCCGUCGCGGGCGUAGGAAAUUUGAGAGGAUCUGCUCCUAGUACGAGAGGACCAGAGUGGACUUACCGCUGGUGUACCAGUUGUCUUGCCAAAGGCAUCGCUGGGUAGCUAUGUAGGGAAGGGAUAAACGCUGAAAGCAUCUAAGUGUGAAACCCACCUCAAGAUGAGAUUUCCCAUGAUUAUAUAUCAGUAAGAGCCCUGAGAGAUGAUCAGGUAGAUAGGUUAGAAGUGGAAGUGUGGCGACACAUGUAGCGGACUAAUACUAAUAGCUCGAGGACUUAUCC